GCUGCGAUAGUUUACCCUAAAACAUUAGCUUGUGAAGCUAAAAACGGAAUCAACACAUUUCCCCGCAGCC
This 70-nucleotide transfer RNA is filed under the name Calumma nasutum. Its description in RNAcentral is "tRNA-His". It matches the Rfam family "tRNA". From Rfam's summary of the family: Transfer RNA (tRNA) molecules are approximately 80 nucleotides in length. Their secondary structure includes four short double-helical elements and three loops (D, anti-codon, and T loops). The record is from RNAcentral. Lineage: Eukaryota; Metazoa; Chordata; Lepidosauria; Squamata; Chamaeleonidae.